AUUAGAUACAUCCAUCUUGUAUAUACUGGCCCACUUAGUCUAGUCUCAUAUGGAAGAUGAAUUGAAAGAUACACCAUGAUAUCAAAGAAGACGGGAGAAAAUAUCAUCUCGAGCUUACAGAGAGUAAUGAUAAUCUUCUUCUCUAAUAUGUCGAUCUGACUUUGCCUCAACAUCUUCGCACAUAAGUUUCAAAAAUAAGUUCCCAGAUCAAGUAAUGUAUCGCAUAUAUUAUCCGACAACAAUCCAUACAAACCAAC
This 257-nucleotide long non-coding RNA is filed under the name Elaeis guineensis (African oil palm). Its description in RNAcentral is "long non-coding RNA (EGUI_LNC024227)". The record is from RNAcentral. Lineage: Eukaryota; Viridiplantae; Streptophyta; Magnoliopsida; Arecales; Arecaceae.